UUAUUAUUAAAAUUUCAUGAUAUUAGUAAAAAACAGCAUCUUUUGCUGCAUAUUUAAAUAAUUUUGAAAAAAAAAUUGGAACAAAUAAUCUCAAUACAGUAUCAAUCCAUUUGUAAUUUUAAGAAGAGAGAGGGUUGAUGUACUUGUUGCAAUCUAAUGACUAAAAUACCUCAAGAAAUGCUUUCUCUAUUAGUUUGAGGUUGCCAAAAAUGAAAUAUCACAAUGUAAGCAACGUCAUUCCCCCCUCCCCCCUCUAACUGUUUUGUAUGCCCUUAAGAGGACCUAAUCUUUAAUGUUGUUUUAGUUUAAUUAGCAAACUCCCAUGAAACCGGAACACACUAUUGUAAUGUAUGCUGCACCAAGGGUAGCACUUUUUCAGAUAAGAAAAGUGUAGUGUACAUGUAGUAUUAUGCUGAUGACAACAUUUAAAAGCAUGAGCUAUUUUAUUGUACAUUGUUUGUAAAUAAUUGUCAAUAUGUCUUUGUAGAGUAGUCUUUGUGUAGGAUAUUUUUGUCAACUUUUAACACAAGAUAUUCCUUUGUUAAAAGUUAUUUAUGAAAUGUGCAAAAUAUGUUGAUCAAUCAAUGUACAGAAUAAUUUUGUGGUCAAGAAAAAUGCCAUGUCUGUUUAGGGUUUCCCCAACUUCUUAUCCCUAUUUUAGUGCUAACCUGAUAUUUUUUAUUGAAUUUUAUGUUUCAGUUAGAAUUGUUAAAUUCUAAAUUGAUUUCUUAUACAGUUUGUAAAAAAUCAAUGAAAACAAUUUACCUUCCUAAUUUUUCUCCAUUUUGUUACUCUAAACAGACACAUUUUUUUCUUGGCCUGAUUAUUACAUUUGAGUUUGUAGUUCAGUUGGUGCUAAAAUCUUAAGAUAAGGCUUGUUUAAUUAUUUUUUUUGUACAUGUAGAUGUAAUUUCAGUAAAAUAAUUGUUAACAAGUGUUGGGAAAUUUUAUAAAAGUACUUUAUAUAGGGUACCAAAGCCUUGAUUUUAAAUGAUAACAUAUCACUAUAUAUAGCUACCAGGCUUGCAUCUAGAACUUGUGAAUGUAAAAAUGACCAACACUCCUGGAAUUUAUAAAUUGAACAAUUUAUUUCAAUAUUUUAUGGUCAUAAACAGGUUCAACAGUCAUGACAGUGGCAGAUCUAGUUAUUUUCAUAAGUAGUGGCCCAUGGCCACUUACAUGUACUGUCUAAGGUGAGGGCUGCUCUGGUCAUGUUUCAGUGAUUGCCUAAAUAAUCAACAAAACACAUGUGACAUUAUUCUAUGGCAAAAGUUUAAAAGAAAUCUGUAUUUAAUGUCAAUUGCAUUGCUUUAUUAGGUCAUGGAGACUAUAAUGAUAAAUUAUAUAGCAAUAAAAUAUCAUCUUCUUAAGGUGGGACUAUCCAUGACCAAAACUGAUGAGUCUUUGGACUCGCCUUCAAAAAUCCUUAGUGAGAACCUUAAACUGUCUGACUACCAUUAUUCCUGAAGUAUGAUAGAUGAACAUGGGAGGUUAAUGAUCAAUUUAUCUUUGAAUAAACUCUUCUACUUUUGAUUUUUGAAAUAGAGACGGAAUUUGGAAGUACAUUUUUUUUUAGAUUUUAUCUCGGAUAUAGUUCUUAAAUGAUACUCUAGCUUUCCUGGCAGUUAGAAAACCAAUAUAUACCAUUCCUCCAAGAACACAUGAAGAAAUAAUCAAAGGAGCAGGUCCAGUAAGACCCCUUUUUGGCCCUAAUAUAUAGUUUUACAUAAUUAUUAAAGUGUAAACUUUAAGUUAUUUAUUUGAAAGUAAAAUGCUUCUGCUACAUUAA
RNAcentral lists this long non-coding RNA (1789 nucleotides) under Mytilus galloprovincialis (Mediterranean mussel). Lineage: Eukaryota; Metazoa; Mollusca; Bivalvia; Mytilida; Mytilidae. The record is from RNAcentral.